UUUUUCUUUUUCUUUUUCUUUUGGUGCGACGCAGUCAUGACCCAAAGGCUAAACCCUUUUCCGCCUCCUCUACCACCCUUUCUCCCGCAUAUUCUUCUCUCCCAGAUCUUCAUUGUUGAAACUCCAAAACCUCUGUCUCUCCUUAAAGAUAUCAGUAUUAAGGUUUCCCUUCAAAGUCUCCUCUCACCAUACCAUCCCAAUCUCUCCAUUUUCUUUGAAAACUCAAGCUAUGCGAAUUUGGUAUUCUGAGGCAAAACCCUAGGUUCCAGCGGCGUGACGAAGAAUAGCACAAUUUGGGGAGGUUAUUCUAUCUCCUCUUCUCGCUCUUCCUUUCGUUUGUUCGAUUUUCUAAUUUCUCGAGGCUAAAGUUCGACGAUUCUUUGAAAAAUCAAAGAAAAAAACCAGCAUCUAAGAACAUUGAUGAGGAUGAUGAUGCAGCAAAAGCGCAGUAAAGGCUUGCAAUGAAAAAAAAAUUGAUGAAGAAGUAAAAGUUUCGUCACUUAAGAUCUGGCAACAAUGAAAUUUUGCAGCCUCCCAAGCAAAUUCGUUGGUCCAUUGCCUGAAGAAAUUGUGUCCUUGUCUAGCUGCAGAGACUGUAUGUUGAUGACACUUACAAGGCAUGCGAGAGAUUUGAACAGUUAGGUGUGGAGUUUGUAAAGAAGCUUGAUGAUGGUGAGUCUUUUAUUUUCUAAAUCAGCUCAUAUUUCUUUCUAAUACCAAGUUUGUUUAUGUUAGUUCGUGAUAUUUUUUGAUUUUUUGAACUUUUAAUUGAGGAUUUUGAUUUUUGAUGCCAGUUCUUUGUUCUUAAUUCCUUUGGAUCUUGUGUCUCCAGCAAUUUUUCCACACAAAAUUUCCGCACUUCCUUCUGAAAAUCUUCGUUUUUUCAGACUGUUGAAGAGGAAAACCCAUGUAAGCAAAGUCUCUCAUUUUUCUGGGUUUUAUUUAUUAUUGACUUUUUCUGAAAAUAGGGAUUUUAUCGUGUUGUUCUUUUGUUUGUAAUAUGAGAAUGAUGUGACUAUGAUAGUAUGGAUUAAAGAAUAUAUGGUUGUCAGGUUGUGAGUUUUAUAGGAUAUAUUUUCAGAUGCUUAAAAAAGUUUGUUUAAGAACCUAUUCGGCCUGAAUCUAAAUUUCUGUAUACCUAUUAGUCUAUUACUUAGUAUGAGGUACUCUGCUAGUUUUACCAUGUACAUUUGGCAUUCCAACUUGGGUUUAUUACUUACCUAGCUACUUGCAUAUGUUGUUGAUCAGGAAAAAGUGACAUAGUCAAAUGGUUCCUAUAAUGCUAAUGCUAAGAUGCAACUCUGUCUUAGUGACUAAACUCCAAAGUCAUUAUUGCAGAUGCUUUCAACCUUUCACUGCUUGACUGUUAGUAUUUCAUAUUUGUGAAAUGUGAUUGUUCUGCUAUUUUUGUUUGUUUUCUUUGGGCUGAUUACAUUAUGAGCAAUGUCGAUAUUUAGCUAGUUUAUUGUAAUAUUUACUUAAACUUUUAUGUUUAAAGUGUAGUUAGGUUAUCAACAUGUUGGUUGAUCUAUGGUGAAUUUGCCUUUUAUUGGGUUGUAAACUGUUUUGACAGGUAUAUAUUAAUGUAUUAUAACAUUCCCGGUAUUGGGGAGGGUCAAAUUACAAAGGAAA
Molecule: long non-coding RNA, 1632 nt
Organism: Spinacia oleracea (spinach)
Lineage: Eukaryota; Viridiplantae; Streptophyta; Magnoliopsida; Caryophyllales; Amaranthaceae
Exons: 4
Source: RefSeq, a predicted model, not a curated record